Molecule: long non-coding RNA, 1172 nt
Filed under: Chinchilla lanigera (long-tailed chinchilla)
Lineage: Eukaryota; Metazoa; Chordata; Mammalia; Rodentia; Chinchillidae
Description: lncRNA (ENSCLAG00000024639.1)
Source: RNAcentral
AUGGGCCACAGUCUUUCCAAAAUCCUUGACUUCCACAAAACAGGCCCAGGAGGUUUUGGUUCCAGGAGGUGGAGAGCAAGGCCCUGCUCAGCUGACGCCGCCUCCCGCUUGCCCUGCUUUUGUCUGGAGAGGAGUUUGAACGGCUGGUCUCACACAGGAAGAGCCCAUCGCGAAGAGAAUGUUACGAUCUACCGCCAAAGUCAGCCAGAGAAUCUCCACGACUGCGUCCUGCUCGGAAGGGCAGGGAACGUCAGGGUAAUAGCUGCAGGUUCGAUGGGCAGCUGUGGGGACGAGGACUUCCGAUUCUAUGACUUGCCUUGGGGAGGCGGACUCCGGUGUCUACAGUUUGCUUCAGGGAGAAGGACAGAUGAGAAACGGGAGGCCAGGGAAAAGUCCUUACUGUCAACGGUACGCCAGGCACUUGGCAAGACACAUGUGUCACCUGCCUCACGGAGCAUGCAGUGUAGCUGGGAAGUCAGCCAGCAAUCACAACUGUCUCUAGGAUGUGCCAUGACAAAGGGUCUGGCUUGGAACUCGAGAUCCUCCCUUGGGCAGGUGGCUGGGACCACAAGCAUGCACCACCAUGCCAACUUCAUCCAACACGUAAAUAUAUUUAUUUAUUUAGCACCUACUAUAUGCUAGCAGUGUUCUAGGUACUGAGGACAUAGCAAUGAGAAGGCAGAGUCCCUGCUGUGAUGUUUAUCUUAUGGAGGAAGAAAAUAAGGAAAACAGACAGUCUUGGGCAGUGACGAACAGCAAGAACGUAAGAGUGUGCUGUUAGGAGUAAAGGCCUUGGGCAGCCCAGUCUAGGUAGAGCGAGUGGGUCACAUGAUCGCUAAUGCUAGGACAAGCCGGGGGUGGAAAGCUCCAGGCUGGGAGAGAUCCCGCCCACACGACAAGAAAGGCAAGGACUUUGAGGCAGAAACACAGUGGCAGUUCCAUGGACAGAAAGACCAGGGGAAGGCCUGAUCAUGUGUGCCAGGAGAACGUUUUGAUUUUAUUCUAAUUGCAGCUGGAAGCUUGAUUUAUAUUGUUUGCCUUUUUUGCAGUGCUGGGGAUGGAACCCAGGACCUCCUGCCUGGUAGGCAUGAGCUCUACCGAUGAGCUGCAUCCCUAGCAUGACAGGAUUUAAAGGACCGUGCUGAUUUCUCUGAGAGAAGAUGAAACCUACU